This 497-nucleotide ribosomal RNA is filed under the name uncultured bacterium. RNAcentral describes it as "partial 16S ribosomal RNA". It matches the Rfam family "Bacterial small subunit ribosomal RNA", at positions 28 to 507 of the family's 1533-position model. The record is from RNAcentral.
GAUGAACGCUGGCGGCGUGCCUAAUACAUGCAAGUCGAGCGAACGGACGAGAAGCUUGCUUCUCUGAUGUUAGCGGCGGACGGGUGAGUAACACGUGGAUAACCUACCUAUAAGACUGGGAUAACUUCGGGAAACCGGAGCUAAUACCGUAUGAUAUUUUGAACCGCAUGGUUCAAAAGUGAAAGACGGUCUUGCUGUCACUUAUAGAUGGAUCCGCGCUGCAUUAGCUAGUUGGUAAGGUAACGGCUUACCAAGGCAACGAUGCAUAGACGACCUGAGAGGGUGAUCGGACACACUGGAACUGAGACACGGACCAGACUACUACGGGAGGCAGCAGUAGGGAAUCUUCCGCAAUGGGCGAAAGCAUGACGGAGCAACGCCGCGUGAGUGAUGAAGGUCUUCGGAUCGUAAAACUCUGUUAUUAGGGAAGAAAAUAUGUGUAAGUAACUGUGCACAUAGUGACGGUACCUAAUCAGAAAGCCACGGCUAACUACGUG